UGGGGAAUAUUGCACAAUGGGGGAAACCCUGAUGCAGCAACGCCGCGUGAGUGAUGAAGGCCUUCGGGUUGUAAAGCCCUGUCUUUGGGGACGAUUAUGACGGUACCCAAGGAGGAAGCCACGGCUAACUACGUGCCAGCAGCCGCGGUAAUACGUAGGUGGCAAGCGUUGUCCGGAUUUACUGGGCGUAAAGGAUGCGUAGGCGGAUAUUUAAGUGAGAUGUGAAAUACCCGGGCUCAACUUGGGUGCUGCAUUUCAAACUGGAUAUCUAGAUGCAGGAGAGGAAAGUGGAAUUCCUAGUGUAGCGGUGAAAUGCGUAGAGAUUAGGAAGAACAUCAGUGGCGAAGGCGACUUUCUGGACUGUAACUGACGCUGAGGCAUGAAAGCGUGGGGAGCAAACAGGAUUAGAUACCCUGGCAGUCCACGCCGUAAACGAUGAAUACUAGGUGUGGGAGGGUCAACCUUCCGUGCCGCAGUUAACACAAUAAGUAUUCCGCCUGGGGAGUACGUCGCAAGAUU
RNAcentral lists this ribosomal RNA (519 nucleotides) under uncultured bacterium. RNAcentral describes it as "partial 16S ribosomal RNA". It matches the Rfam family "Bacterial small subunit ribosomal RNA", at positions 355 to 895 of the family's 1533-position model. The record is from RNAcentral.